RNAcentral lists this ribosomal RNA (253 nucleotides) under uncultured bacterium. Its description in RNAcentral is "partial 16S ribosomal RNA". It matches the Rfam family "Bacterial small subunit ribosomal RNA", at positions 524 to 776 of the family's 1533-position model. The record is from RNAcentral.
UACGAAGGGUGCAAGCGUUACUCGGAAUUACUGGGCGUAAAGCGUGCGUAGGCGGUUCGUUAAGUCUGAUGUGAAAGCCUUGGGCUCAACCUGGGAAUGGCAUUGGAUACUGGCGGCCUAGAGUGCGGUAGAGGGGUGUGGAAUUCCCGGUGUAGCAGUGAAAUGCGUAGAUAUCGGGAGGAACAUCUGUGGCGAAGGCGACACCCUGGACCAGCACUGACACUGAGGCACGAAAGCGUGGGGAGCAAACAGG